UCUAGCCUGCUCACUGACAUAAAGUGUUAAAUAGCCGCGGUAUCUUGACCGUGCAAAGGUAGCAUAAUCAUUAGUUUCUUAAUUGGGAACUUGUAUGANUGGUUGGACAAAGAAAAAUCUGUCUCUUAUAUUAAAAUUGANUUUAACUUCUAAGUGAAAAGGCUUAGAUUAACCAGAGGGACGAUAAGACCCUAUAAAGCUUUAUAAAUUUAUUAAUUUCGUCUAUNNNNCUUAUAAUGUGAUAUUGAGAAGAUUUAUUUGGUUGGGGCAACCGAAGUAUAAUUAAAGAUAACUGCUACUAUUUUAUACAAUGAUUUUUGUUAGAUGAUAAUUGAUCCUUAAAAAGAUUAAAGACCAAGUUACUUUAGGGAUAAUAGCGUAAUUUAUCCUGAGAGUUCUUAUCAAAGGAGAAGUUUGCGACCUCGAUGUUGAAUUAAAAUGUCUAUUCAGUGCAGCAGCUGAAAAGAAG
This 469-nucleotide ribosomal RNA is filed under the name Callinectes ornatus (shelligs). RNAcentral's name for it is "partial 16S ribosomal RNA". It matches the Rfam family "Bacterial large subunit ribosomal RNA", at positions 1853 to 2571 of the family's 2925-position model. The record is from RNAcentral. Lineage: Eukaryota; Metazoa; Arthropoda; Malacostraca; Decapoda; Portunidae.